Molecule: ribosomal RNA, 253 nt
Filed under: uncultured bacterium
Lineage: Bacteria
Description: partial 16S ribosomal RNA
Rfam family: Bacterial small subunit ribosomal RNA
Source: RNAcentral
UACGUAGGGUGCGAGCGUUACUCGGAAUUACUGGGCGUAGAGCGUGCGCAGGCGGUUUUGUAAGCCAGAUGUGAAAUCCCCGGGCUCAACCUGGGAAUGGCAUUUGGGACUGCAAGGCUGGAGUACGGCAGAGGAGACUGGAAUUCCUGGUGUAGCAGUGAAAUGCGUAGAUAUCAGGAGGAAUACCGAUGGCGAAGGCAGGUCUCUGGGCUGAUACUGACGCUCAUGCACGAAAGCGUGGGGAGCAAACAGG